CGCGGCCUAUCAGCUUGUUGGUGGGGUGAUGGCCUACCAAGGCGACGACGGGUAGCCGGCCUGAGAGGGUGUCCGGCCACACUGGGACUGAGAUACGGCCCAGACUCCUACGGGAGGCAGCAGUGGGGAAUAUUGCACAAUGGGCGCAAGCCUGAUGCAGCGACGCCGCGUGGGGGAUGACGGCCUUCGGGUUGUAAACCUCUUUCACCAUCGGCGAAGCCGGGAGCUUUUGUUUCUGGUGACGGUAGGUGGAGAAGAAGCACCGGCCAACUACGUGCCAGCAGCCGCGGUAAUACGUAGGGUGCGAGCGUUGUCCGGAAUUACUGGGCGUAAAGAGCUCGUAGGUGGUUUGUCGCGUUGUUCGUGAAAUCUCACGGCUUAACUGUGAGUGUGCGGGCGAUACGGGCAGACUGGAGUACUGCAGGGGAGACUGGAAUUCCUGGUGUAGCGGUGGAAUGCGCAGAUAUCAGGAGGAACACCGGUGGCGAAGGCGGGUCUCUGGGCAGUAACUGACGCUGAGGAGCGAAAGCGUGGGGAGCGAACAGGAUUAGAUACCCUGGUAGUCCACGCCGUAAACGGUGGGUACUAGGUGUGGGUUUCCUUCCUUGGGAUCCGUGCCGUAGCUAACGCAUUAAGUACCCCGC
Molecule: ribosomal RNA, 644 nt
Filed under: uncultured bacterium
Lineage: Bacteria
Description: bacterial SSU rRNA
Rfam family: Bacterial small subunit ribosomal RNA
Source: RNAcentral